UCCGUCACUCUCUACUCCCUUACAUAUAACAUCACCAUAACUUGCUGCUGGAAUUAGUCUUUGUCUUGACAAAUGUAUUCACAUAUGUAUUCUACAGCCAGUGUUUUUUUUCUUUGAAACAGGGUCUUACUCUGUUGCCCAGGCUGGGGUGCAGUGGCGCAAUCUCAGCUCACUGCAACCUCCGCCUCCUGGUUUCAAGUUAUUCUCCUGCCUCAACCUCCUGAGUAGCUGUGAUUACAGGGACCUGCCAUCAUGCCCGGCUAAUUUUUGUAUUUUUAGUACAGACAGAGUUUCACCAUGUUGGCCUGGCUGGUCUCAAACUCCUGACUUCAAAUGAUCCACCCUCAGCCUCCCAAAGUGCUGGGAUUACAGGUGUGAGCCACUGUGCCCAGCCCUUGCAUCCAAUUGUAAAGUAUGACUAUCACUACAGAAAGUUCUCUCAUGUUUCUUUUCAGUCCCCACCACACUACCAGAGGCAGUGUGGUAGAAUAAUAAUAAUAAAGUAAUAAAAAUUAAUCCCAGAAUAUUUUAACUAAUCGCCAGUGAAAUUCUUUUUAAAAUUAUUUGGGACCAGGCAUGGUGGCUCAGGUCUGUAAUCCCAGUACUUUGGGAGGCCAAGGCAAGAGGAUUGCUUGAACCCAGGAGUUCAAGACCAGCCUGGGCCACAUGGCAAACCUCCCCCACAUCUCUACCAAAACAAAUUUUUAAUUUUUUUUUUUUUUUCUUGAGAUGGAGUUUUGCUCUUGUUACCCAGGCUGGAGUGCAAUGGUGCAAUCUCGGCUCACCGCAACCUCUGCCUCCUGGGUUCAGGGAAUUCUCCUGCCUCAGCCUCCUGAGUAGCUGGGACUACAGGCACGCACCACCGUGCCCAGCUAAUUUUUUGUAUUUUUAGUAGAGAUGGGGUUUCACCAUGUUGACCAGAAUGGUCUCGAUAUCUUGACCUCCUGUUCCACCCACCUCGGCCUCCCAAAGUGCUGGGAUUACAGGCUUGAGCCACCGCACCCAGCCUCAAAACAAAUUUUUAAAUUAGCCAGGCGUGGUGGUGUGCACCUGUAAGCUAUGGUCUCAGCUAGUUUGGAAACUGAGACAGGAGGAUCACUUGAGCCCAGGAGGUCAAGGCUGUGGUGAGCCGUGUUCAUGCCACUGCACUCAAGCCUGGGUGACAAAGUGAGACCCUGUCUCAAAAAGAAAACUUAUUCGGGAAAUCUCUGGAUUUCUUAGAUCUACUGUUCUUGAUUACAGACUCUAUAGAAGUCACAACAAUUUUCCUGUCUUUUCUUAGCUAACAGAUAUUUUGUUUUUUUUCUUCAAGUUAUUCUAAAUUAUAAAACAGGAAAGCUGCUCUUCAAACUGUAGAACAGGUAUUCAACAAAAACUUUUUAUUUCCAUAAUUCCUAAUUGCUUGGAUCUAAGGAAGAAUAUAUUUAAUGGGCAAAAGUCUCAAAAGAAAAAGCAGGUCAUUAUUGCUCAUUCCCAUUUAUCAAUAGUGCAGCUCAGCAAAGCUGACAUUGUAUUGUGCAAGGUGAAAAGAACCCUCUCAGGGUUCCCUGUUGCAGGAUAUGAUUAAAGCCUAGUGACAAUAAACCAAGCUGGCCUCAGGGCCUGUUUCCCAGACAGUCCUUUUCAACAUCAGCACUCCAGGUAGAUCAGAACCUUUCAGAGCUAGGGGAAAUACAUCCUGUAGGCUUAAUUGUACACUCCUUGAGGCUUGCAGAUAAACUCCCUUAUCAAAAGAAGACUUAAGUUCCCAACAAGUAUUGAGUGGCUCAAUUAUUUCUUCCUCGGUUCCACGAAAAUGGUUUUUCAGUGCAGAGGAUAAUUCUGCACACAUUUAUCAGUCCUGGCAUGGACCUAUCCCUGUGGAGCACAUAUCGAUGAAAUGUGAUGCCCGGUUUCAAGGGGUUUACAGUAUAUAUAGUUCUCUGUUUUAUGGGGAGCACCAGGUAGAGAAUGACUCCAACUAAGAGGUCAGGCAGGGUGGGGAGGGGACUUGUGGAAGAGGGAAAAUGUGAACCAAGCCUUGAAACUGGGUAAGAUAUUGGACAAACAUGGAUAAGAAGAAAGAGCCAACCAUUUUUUACACUGCAGCCCAAGUGAUCUUUCUGAAGCACAAAUCUAAUAUUCCAUUUCCCUCUUUAAAGCCAUCAGUAUGAGAAAUAUCACUACCCAUUUUACUGUGUGAGAUAAUGGUGCCCAGCACACAGUGAGUGAGAAAACUGAGGCCCAGGGUGGGGCCACAUUGUCUCCAAAGCCAGCUAAUUAAUGGAAGAAUCAUACUAGAACUGACUGCCACUGGGGCCAUGCUCUUCAGCUCCUCAACAGCCAUUCUUGGCUGAACUCACUGAGCAAAAUCAAGGUGCCAGCAGGACUAUGUUUCUUUCUGGAGGCCCUUGGAGAGAAUCCAUUUUCUUGCCUUUUCCAGCUUCUAGAGACUGCCCAUAUUCUUGGGCUUAUGGUUCCUUCUUUCCUCUUCAUUGGCUGGUUGAUUCCUUCACACAUCACAUCACUCUGACACUGCCCCUUCUGUCCUCCUCUUGCACUUGUAAGGACCCUUGUGAUGACAUGGCCUAGCCAGAUUACCUAGAAUAAUCUCCCAUCUCAAAGUCCUCAUCAUAAUCACAUCUACAGGGUCCCUUUUGCAAUUUAAGAUAACAUUCUCAACAGGUUCCAGGAAUGAGAAUGUGGAUGUCUUUAGAGAGCCAUUAUUCUGCCUACCACAGAUACAACCUCGCUGUUACCACCAAGGGUUGGAAUGAGGAUCAUUCUGGGACUGCUGCAAGAUGCUGGAAACUGGAACCAAGUGCUGCCUUCAUGCUGAAACACAAAUUGGUACACCAACAAUUAAUGGAUCAGUGAAGAGCAAGAGUUCUCCAGAUAACGAAUAAGAAGAGGGAUGCAGUUGCCUUGGAGCUGGCAGACUGCACAGCAGACAAACAGGAGUCCCGCCACCUCCCAUGGAGAUGACACUGGAACGCAGACUCACUGCUGAAUUUGGGAUCACUUAGGCACAGGAGGAGAGAAAACUGAAGACCAUUUGGGAACAAAAGAAUACCACAAAAGGAAAAGGUGGGACAUGGGGCAAUGGAAAGAAAAGAAAAUUCAUCAUCUAAAAUGUCUUGCUCUGUUAUCCAGACUGGAAUGCAAUGGAUCUUGGGUCAUUGCAACAACCUCCACCUCCCAGGCUCAAGCAAUCCACCUGCCUCAGCCUCCCAAGUAGCUGGGACUACAGGUAUGUGCUACGAGAUGUGGCUAGGUUUUGCAUUUUGGGUAGAAACAGGGUUUCCCCAUGUUAUCCAGGCUGGUCUGGAACUCCUGGGCCCAAGUAAUCCUCCUGCCUCCACCUCCCAAAAUGCUAAGAUUAUAGACAUCAGCCACUAAGCCUGGCCCAAAACUAAAUUUUCUAUUAUCUGACAGCAUCUGCCUUUUAAGCCUUGGAAGACAAAUCAUGGUAAAUAGGCAGGAGCAGAGUGCGGUGGGGAAAACACAAACUAGGGGGUCACAGAAAACCCGAAGGAUUUGCUCUAUCACCGAGGAGCUGCUCAGUGCAUACAAAAAAACCAUGAAGCAACAUGGCCCAACUCACUCCCAGACACAAGGCUCUUACAGCCUUGUAACCCAGAAAUCCUUAUACCUUCCCUGAAAAAACUGCAGACAUCUAAGAAAGACACUGUGGACCCAGAUAACGUCAUGAUCUCUGACCAUCCCUGGACAUGCCCCAACAUAGGAAUAUACCCACAGACUGUCAGGCCUGUGGCAUCACCCCUGGGCUCACCGGCUCAGGGGGGUAUCAUCAGGGCUGGUGCCUGGUGCUGGGUAUGGCGCACAGCUGUCGUCCACAGGGGUGGUUGGGGAUGGGCAGGGCAGGUACACUGCACUCCACAGCAUCAGGUUACGCACAUGGCACACAGGGUACAGCACCUGAGGAGGGGGGAGGACACAAGUUUAAAUAUGUCCCAGUAAGUCUUCUAGGAUAUCUGGAAAUGAGGAUCAAGAGCAAGUACCCAGCUGGAAUACCCAACAGGGCUGACAGGAUCUCCACGAAGAGUCAGCACCAAUGGAUGCAGGUCUAUCCCAAGAGGACCAAUAAAGGACUAGACAUUUUAUAUGGCCAACAUUUUCCUCUUGAGAGCAUGAAAAUCUAGAAGAUUGUUUUAGAUCCCUUUCUCAUUAAUAGUUAUUUCUUAGGUCACCUUCAAUGACUGACUUUCGUUGGCUUGAUUUGUUGCUUUUACUGUCUAAGAAAGUGAGUCAUUCUGUUACUCACUUUCAUGGUGAUUGUCCAUCCCACUGGCACAGAAGCUUGGCUUCAGGAGAUACUGUCACACCCAUUUUAUAGGCUCAUUUAAAUUAAUCAUGUGAAAAGAAGGAAAUUUUUCUUCUUCCCCAGAAGGCACAUUGCAGGGGAGAGACAAGCAGCUUAAAUCUUUUCUUUGACUACUUAAAUGUAAUGAGAACCAUGUUAAUAGUCCAAGAAAUCAAUAUAAACUCUGAUUAGCCUCCUUUUCAUUUCUUUAGGGUUUAAGAUGCAUUCUGACAAAGAUAACAUUACUAUGAAACUCACACACAGGUCUAUAUGCCUCCUUUUCUUUGCUUAACAGAAGGCAUUCAUUCCUUUAGGGAACAAAGUCUUGAAGGCCCUGCCAGCUCUUCAUGUGAGCAGAGAAUCACAGUCAGACGCACAUACCAAUGUCAAACAGUUUUCUGUGUUCCUUCUCUGCGAGAAGCUAUAGGGGAUAUCAUUGCUUACUGGACACUGGGAGGGUGCUAGGGGCCUGGUGGCAGCUCCUUCUGAGCUAUCAGUACAUCAGGAAGCAACUUAAGUGCCUCUCCCAUAAGACAAAACAUGCUAGAAAUAAGCUCUGGAGGCAGAGCCAAAAAAGAUUCAUGUCUAGGGUGGCAAAGUAGAGAUCUGUGUUAAACCAAACCACCCUCAGCAAGUAGUCAUCAGAACAUCAUCUUCUAAGCAAGCCUUCCUCAGGACAGAGUUGUAGGGGAAAAAUGAAACCAGUCCAUCCAGAGACAGAGAUGCCUUCACAAAAACAGUCACUACUCAAAAAGGCUCUCAUAUGUCACCAACCCCAGAUUCCUUCUGCUGACCACAGUGAAAAGGCUGAAGGAUACAUACGGCUUCUGACUGAGAGGAAUACAGUAGAUUUUUGAAAGGCUUGUUGCCUGCCCGAAGAAGUGACCACACAGAACACGUCCGUUCCUGAGUAUGCUUUUCCCCUCUCUCCUUGGCAUUGUUGCACAGGAAUGUGCCAAAGAGGCAGGAAUAGGUAUGCUGCACCAGUUUCACCUAUCGGAGUCCAAUGAAGCACAAAUUAAGCAAUCAGGCAUGCAUUCUCUGAGAGGUCAGCUCAGCUGAGCCACCUUAUCCCGACAUCCCUGAGAACACUUUACUCUAUCAGGACAGGGGAACCCAGUAAGCCAUGCAGUAGCCUCCUCUUCCUCACAUCACCGAUUCUAGGACCCGACCCCAACCAACUGAGUCAGACAGAUUGUUGGUACUCUCAUUCCCCUUAGCUUCCCUGAUAAACAGUCAGAUUCUGAAUUAACGGCCACCCUCACAAGCACCAGAGCAUAUGAACUGGGUACAGGAGCAUGUCAGUGUACACCUUAAGCCUGAGCUGAGAGGAUACUUGUAACACUACUUGUUCAUUCGACAAAUUAUUGAGCAUUUCACAUGCCCCAGACAUGACUAAGAUGCUGGUCAUGCAGCAAUGACUGGCAAACUCUUCUGCCCUGUUGGAGCUUGCUCUAGUCAUAGGUAAGAGUGACCAGUGCUGUGGAGAACAGGGCAGACUGAGAUGGACAGGACAUGUAUGGGGCAGUGCAGGAUGGCCUCACUGGCUAGAACCCAAUGAACAUGAAAGAGCAGGCAUGUGGGUAUCACACUUUAAGGACUUUGGCUUUUACUUUGUGUAAAAUGUAAAGGUUUUUAAGCAAAGGAAUGACAGUCUGUCUGAUGUUUUAGAAGAGACUCUAUGCUGGGAUGACUCAAUUGGAGCAGGAGAUGAUGGUGGCUUGAACCAGUGUGGUACCAAUAAAGGGGGCAAUAAAUAAACAGGUUUUAGACAUAUUUUCAAAGCAGAGCUGUAGAAUCUGACUGAAUGUGAAAGAUAAAAGAAAGAAGAGACCUGGGGAUGACAAAGAAUUUUGCCCUAAACAAAAGGAGGGAUGGAAAUGCCAUAUGGUGAGAGGAGACUUCUGGAAGAUCAAGUUUGGAACAUCAAGUUUUAGAGUGAGGAAACACAGAAAUUAAGAAUUAAGUUUUGGACAAGUGCGGUGACUCAUGCCUGUAAUACCAGCACUUUGUGAGGCUGGGGUAGGAGGAUAUUGUUUGACCCCAGGUGUUUUAGACAUGCCUGAGUAACAAAGCAACACCCCAUCUCUACAAAAAUAAAAAUAUCAGCCAGGCACAGUGGUGCACACCUGCAGUCCUAGUGACUCAGGAGGCUAAGGUGAGAAGAUCACUUGACUCGGAGUUCAAGGCUGCAGUAAGCUGUGUUUGUGCCACUAUACUCCAGUCUGGGUGACAGUGAGAUGCUGUCUCAAAAAAGAAUUAAGUUUCGCAUUUAUUAAGUCCGAAAUAACAUUAAGACAGCCAAGCGAAGAUUCCUAGUAGCCAUAUUAGAUAUGUGAGGCUGAAGUGGAGAGGUCUAAGCUGAAGGUGUAUAAAAGGAACUCAUCAGCCUAUAGAUCGCAAUUAAAGCCACUAGAAUGAAUGAAAUACUUAGAAGUAUAGAUGGAGAAGCAGCCUGGAGGCUGAGCAAUGGGGCAUUCCAACAUUUAGAACUGGGUGUAGUUUACAGCUGUAAUCCUUUGGGCGACCAAGGUGGGAGGUUUGAGACCAGCCUGGGCAACACAGUGAGACUCCAUGUCUAUUUACAAAAAAAAAUUUUUUUAAUUAGCCAGGCAUAUUGGCAUGUGCCUGUGGUCUCAGCUACUGGGAAGGCUGAAGUGGGAGAAUCCCUUGAGCCCAUGAGGUUAAGGCUGCAGUGAAUUAUGAUCAUACCGCUGCACUCUAGCCUGGGAGACACAGCGAGACAUUAUCUCAAAAAAAAAAAAAAAAAAAAGAAGAACGAGGGUUAAAAGGAAUCGGCAAAGGAGGCAGAAACAACCAGCCAGUGAGCUAAGAGGAGAACUAAGAGCAAGGAAGUGCUACAAGUCAACUGAACACAGCAUUUCAAGGAAGAAGUGGUUAAACUGUGUCAAAUGGUAAUGAUGGAUCAAAGGGAUGAAGACUGAGAAACCAUCACUGGAUUAGUGACAUAAAGGUCACUGGUCAUUUUAACAAGAGCAGCUUUGGUAAAGCUGUGGGGUGAAUGCCUGAUUGAAGUGGGUUUAAGAGAAUGGAAAGAGGAAUUUGAGAUAGCAAGGACAGAAAACUUGAGGAGCUCUGCUGUAAAGGGGAAUAAGAGAAAUGGGAUGAUGGCUAGAGGUAAAUGCAGGACCAAGAAUGGGUUUUGAAAAUAUGGGAGACAAUGCCACUUUUUUAUGCUGAAGGUCAUGCUCUGAUACAGAGGGAAACGCACUGAUGCAGAAGACAGAGAAGAGAAAUGCUGGAGCCAGCCAGCACAGCAGAUGAGAGGGAAAGAGAGCUGGUGUGCAGGUGGACAGAGGGGCUGGAAGAGGACAAGGAUAGUGCACCCUCCGUCAAAGGAGAGGGUGCAGAGGGUGCAACACAGACAAAGGGGGUCUGGCAGAUGAAUUGGAGAAAGCAUGGUCCAGUCAUUCUGAUUGCUUCUAUUUCUAACUGCUAUUUAGGGUUUCUACCAUCCCUUUAAAAAAAAAAAACAAAACUAAGUUUAAAACAACUCAAGGA
Non-coding RNA from Callithrix jacchus (white-tufted-ear marmoset), 7825 nucleotides. The record is from RefSeq and is a predicted model, not a curated record. Lineage: Eukaryota; Metazoa; Chordata; Mammalia; Primates; Cebidae.